RNAcentral lists this ribosomal RNA (696 nucleotides) under uncultured bacterium. RNAcentral describes it as "bacterial SSU rRNA". It matches the Rfam family "Bacterial small subunit ribosomal RNA", at positions 32 to 715 of the family's 1533-position model. The record is from RNAcentral.
AACGCUAGCUACAGGCUUAACACAUGCAAGUCGAGGGGAAACGACAUCGAAAGCUUGCUUUUGAUGGGCGUCGACCGGCGCACGGGUGAGUAACGCGUAUCCAACCUGCCCACCACUUGGGGAUAACCUUGCGAAAGUAAGACUAAUACCCAAUGAUAUCUCUAGAAGACAUCUGAAAGAGAUUAAAGAUUUAUCGGUGAUGGAUGGGGAUGCGUCUGAUUAGCUUGUUGGCGGGGUAACGGCCCACCAAGGCAACGAUCAGUAGGGGUUCUGAGAGGAAGGUCCCCCACAUUGGAACUGAGACACGGUCCAAACUCCUACGGGAGGCAGCAGUGAGGAAUAUUGGUCAAUGGGCGCGAGCCUGAACCAGCCAAGUAGCGUGAGGGAUGACGGCCCUAUGGGUUGUAAACCUCUUUUAUGCGGGAAUAAAAUGUUUGACGUGUCAUACAUUGUAGGUACCGCAAGAAUAAGGACCGGCUAAUUCCGUGCCAGCAGCCGCGGUAAUACGGAAGGUCCAGGCGUUAUCCGGAUUUAUUGGGUUUAAAGGGAGCGUAGGCCGCAAGUCAAGCGUGUUGUGAAAUGCAGGGGCUCAACCUCUGGAUUGCAGCGCGAACUGGCAUGCUUGAGUACGCACGAGGUAGGCGGAAUUUGUGGUGUAGCGGUGAAAUGCUUAGAUAUCACGAAGAACUCCGAUUG